GUAGGUGGCAAGCGUUGUCCGGAAUUAUUGGGGCGUAAAGGGCGCGUAGGCGGUACCUUAAGUCAGAUGUGAAAACCCGAGGCUUAACUUCGGAGGUGCAUUUGAAACUGGGGAACUAGAGUGCAGGAGAGGUAAGUGGAAUUCCUAGUGUAGCGGUGAAAUGCGUAGAUAUUAGGAGGAACACCAGUGGCGAAGGCGACUUACUGGACUGUAACUGACGCUGAGGCGCGAAAGCGUGGGGAGGCAAACAGGAUUAGAUACCCUGGUAGUCCACGCUGUAAACGAUGGAUACUAGGUGUGGGAGGUAUCGACCCCUUCCGUGCCGCAGUAAACGCAAUAAGUAUCCCGCCUGGGGAGGUACGGCCGCAAGGUUG
Molecule: ribosomal RNA, 374 nt
Filed under: uncultured organism
Description: bacterial SSU rRNA
Rfam family: Bacterial small subunit ribosomal RNA
Source: RNAcentral